GAUGAACGCUGGCGGCGUGCCUAAUACAUGCAAGUCGAGCGAACAGACGAGGAGCUUGCUCCUCUGACGUUAGCGGCGGACGGGUGAGUAACACGUGGAUAACCUACCUAUAAGACUGGGAUAACUUCGGGAAACCGGAGCUAAUACCGGAUAAUAUAUUGAACCGCAUGGUUCAAUAGUGAAAGACGGUUUUGCUGUCACUUAUAGAUGGAUCCGCGCCGCAUUAGCUAGUUGGUAAGGUAACGGCUUACCAAGGCAACGAUGCGUAGCCGACCUGAGAGGGGGGUAGGCCACCCCGGAAGGUGAACACGGGCCCUGGCCCUGAGGGAGGGCGCAGACUGGAAAGUGUCGCAAAAGGGGGAAAGCUGGAGGAAGCAACGCCGGGGGGGUGAAGAAGGGCUGCGUGCGGAAAAACGGCCUUUUGGGGGAAAACCAAUUGUGAAAGUAACUAUGCGCGUUUGACGGUAACCUAUAAAGAAGCACCGGCUAACUACGUG
RNAcentral lists this ribosomal RNA (497 nucleotides) under uncultured bacterium. RNAcentral describes it as "partial 16S ribosomal RNA". It matches the Rfam family "Bacterial small subunit ribosomal RNA", at positions 28 to 507 of the family's 1533-position model. The record is from RNAcentral.